UACGAAGGGUGCAAGCGUUACUCGGAAUUACUGGGCGUAAAGCGUGCGUAGGUGGUUCGUUAAGUCUGAUGUGAAAGCCCUGGGCUCAACCUGGGAAUGGCAUUGGAAACUGGCGACCUAGAGUGCGGUAGAGGGUAGUGGAAUUCCCGGUGUAGCAGUGAAAUGCGUAGAGAUCGGGAGGAACACCAGAGGCGAAGGCGGCUACCUGGACAGUUACUGACGCUCAGGCACGAAAGCGUGGGGAGCAAAAGGG
Molecule: ribosomal RNA, 253 nt
Filed under: uncultured bacterium
Lineage: Bacteria
Description: partial 16S ribosomal RNA
Rfam family: Bacterial small subunit ribosomal RNA
Source: RNAcentral